GGACCCUCUUUCUGGGCGCCCCUCAUGUGCCAAGCAGCAGGGAAGGUUCUCACUGGGAAAUUGGGACAAUAUAGAGAGAUUAGCAUGGUCCCAGUGCAAGGAUGACACAGAUUUGUGAGGCAUUCUAGU
RNAcentral lists this small nuclear RNA (129 nucleotides) under Erinaceus europaeus (western European hedgehog). Lineage: Eukaryota; Metazoa; Chordata; Mammalia; Eulipotyphla; Erinaceidae. The record is from RNAcentral.